AGUGUCCUUGCAGUAUGGGGGAGUUCUGCAUGUCCAUGUCUUUUAAGGAUGUUUAAGAGAGCAUCCACAGCAUUAUGUUUAACUUGAAAUAUACAUGCCCAUUCUAAAAGUUCUUCCCUGAGUGUGGGUGUAAUAUCUUCGCUCUCAGAACUUGGUAUACUAAAAAAAUAUAUUUUCUUUUUUUGAUAACUACACACAUGGAUACAGAUAUUGAUCUGAAAAACGUUUUUGUGACUUGUUUAAGGAAGUGUGAAUGAUCCACAAUCUCUUCGAGAUGAAAUCUACAAGUUAUUUGAGAGUUUGGAGAGGGGAAUCAUGCUGAAACUAGACCAAAUCCAGGACAACAUCACAACAGCGGUCGGAACAAUGCAGCAGUCAACAAGUCAGCCAAGCACCACUGUCUCUGAUCUUACAGAGGUGCUAGAGGUGCCAUGUAAGACUGUGGAGGAACUAAAAGAGCUGUGUGAUUCGUUAUCUGUGUCUUCAGAGUGGAGGCAGCUUGGGAGGUGGAAUUAGCAGGAUGCUGAAAAAAUUGGAGAUAACUCCUUAUGAAAACAUAACAGUUACAAAGGGAGAAAGGGAAAACGUAAAUUUCAGCAGCUCCUAAUCAAUGAUGCUAUCAUACGUGCUUGCAGUAAGGCAUUCCCACACCAAAAAUCCCAGAGUAUGGAGGAAAUGAUUGCUGUGACCCUAAAACAUGCCCCAGAUCGUGCAAAAACAGCCAAUCAGGCGAGUGCAUUAUAACAUUUAAUUCUAGCAGUUAUAAACAAUCAGCCAAAAAAAAAAAAAUCAUUUAUAAUUCUCACACUGACGGACGGAGGAACAGAGACAGACAGACAGAUAGAUAGAAGGACAGACAGAUAGAUAGAUAUACAGCAUUUUAUAAUUUGUACCUGUUUGUCGGCAUUAUAGCUUUGGGUCACACCUUUUGAUCCGGGUGAUCAAACGCAUAAUGGCGUCCCAAAUAU
This is a long non-coding RNA of Ictalurus punctatus (channel catfish), 968 nucleotides long. RefSeq lists it as uncharacterized. The record is from RefSeq and is a predicted model, not a curated record. The transcript has 4 exons. Lineage: Eukaryota; Metazoa; Chordata; Actinopteri; Siluriformes; Ictaluridae.